UACAGAGGGGGCGAGCGUUGUUCGGAAUUACUGGGCGUAAAGCGCACGUAGGCGGCUUUUUAAGUCAGGGGUGAAAUCCCGGGGCUCAACCCCGGAACUGCCCUUGAAACUGGAGAGCUAGAAUCUUGGAGAGGCGAGUGGAAUUCCGAGUGUAGAGGUGAAAUUCGUAGAUAUUCGGAAGAACACCAGUGGCGAAGGCGACUCGCUGGACAAGUAUUGACGCUGAGGUGCGAAAGCGUGGGGAGCAAACAGG
RNAcentral lists this ribosomal RNA (253 nucleotides) under uncultured bacterium. RNAcentral describes it as "partial 16S ribosomal RNA". It matches the Rfam family "Bacterial small subunit ribosomal RNA", at positions 524 to 776 of the family's 1533-position model. The record is from RNAcentral.